This 479-nucleotide ribosomal RNA is filed under the name uncultured bacterium. RNAcentral's name for it is "bacterial SSU rRNA". It matches the Rfam family "Bacterial small subunit ribosomal RNA", at positions 355 to 848 of the family's 1533-position model. The record is from RNAcentral.
UGGGGAAUCUUGGACAAUGGGGGCAACCCUGAUCCAGCCAUGCCGCGUGAGUGAUGAAGGCCUUAGGGUCGUAAAGCUCUUUCGCCUGUGAAGAUAAUGACGGUAGCAGGUAAAGAAACCCCGGCUAACUCCGUGCCAGCAGCCGCGGUAAUACGGAGGGGGUUAGCGUUGUUCGGAAUUACUGGGCGUAAAGCGCACGUAGGCGGACCAGAAAGUUGGGGGUGAAAUCCCGGGGGCUCAACCCCGGAACUGCCUCCAAAACUAUUGGUCUAGAGUUCGAGAGAGGUGAGUGGAAUUCCAAGUGUAGAGGUGAAAUUCGUAGAUAUUUGGAGGAACACCAGUGGCAGAAGGCGGCUCACUGGCUCGAUACUGACGCUGAGGUGCGAAAGUGUGGGGAGCAAACAGGAUUAGAUACCCUGGGUAGUCCACACCGUAAAACGAUGAAUGCCAGUCGUCGGGUAGCAUGCUAUUCGGUGACA